This 546-nucleotide ribosomal RNA is filed under the name uncultured bacterium. RNAcentral describes it as "partial 16S ribosomal RNA". It matches the Rfam family "Bacterial small subunit ribosomal RNA", at positions 355 to 893 of the family's 1533-position model. The record is from RNAcentral.
UGGGGAAUUUUGGACAAUGGGCGAAAGCCUGAUCCAGCAAUGCCGCGUGUGUGAAGAAGGCCUUCGGGUUGUAAAGCACUUUUGUCCGGAAAGAAAUCCUUGGCUCUAAUACAGUCGGGGGAUGACGGUACCGGAAGAAUAAGCACCGGCUAACUACGUGCCAGCAGCCGCGGUAAUACGUAGGGUGCAAGCGUUAAUCGGAAUUACUGGGCGUAAAGCGUGCGCAGGCGGUUUGCUAAGACCGAUGUGAAAUCCCCGGGCUCAACCUGGGAACUGCAUUGGUGACUGGCAGGCUAGAGUAUGGCAGAGGGGGGUAGAAUUCCACGUGUAGCAGUGAAAUGCGUAGAGAUGUGGAGGAAUACCGAUGGCGAAGGCAGCCCCCCUGGGCCAAUACUGACGCUCAUGCACGAAAGCGUGGGGAGCAAACAGGAUUAGAUACCCUGGUAGUCCACGCCCUAAACGAUGUCAACUAGUUGUUGGGGAUUCAUUUCCUUAGUAACGUAGCUAACGCGUGAAGUUGACCGCCUGGGGAGUACGGUCGCAAGA